UACGAAGGGUACAAGCGUUGUUCGGAAUUACUGGGCGUAAAGCGCGCGUAGGCGGACGAAUCAGUCGAUUGUGAAAUCCCUGGGCUUAACCUGGGAACUGCAGUCGAUACUGCUUGUCUUGAGUGCCUGAGAGGAUGGCGGAAUUCCCGGUGUAGUAGUGAAAUACGUAGAUAUCGGGAAGAACACCUGAGGCGAAGGCGGCUAUCUGGCGGUGCACUGACGCUGAGGCACGAAAGCGUGGGGAGCAAACAGG
Molecule: ribosomal RNA, 253 nt
Filed under: uncultured bacterium
Lineage: Bacteria
Description: partial 16S ribosomal RNA
Rfam family: Bacterial small subunit ribosomal RNA
Source: RNAcentral